GGUAGGACGAGGAGGAAGCAUAGAGGGAGACUGCGGGACGAAGAGGAGAUCUCGGUCAGCAUGCAACCUACACACCAACACCAUCCCAGCUCGUGUGCCGACUCGAGCCAGUUUUGUAGCCGCCAAGGGAAGUACAAAGAUGGCGUCGAGGCUUGGGCGUGUGGCCGUCGACGUGGAGCAGGCAGAGGAGGAGCGACUACUACCCCAACGGCAGCCUCUCCUCCCUUGUCCACGGACAUGCAAAGCACAACAACCAACAGCAGACGACACCUCCUCCAA
Long non-coding RNA from Triticum aestivum (bread wheat), 279 nucleotides. RefSeq lists it as uncharacterized. Lineage: Eukaryota; Viridiplantae; Streptophyta; Magnoliopsida; Poales; Poaceae. The transcript has 3 exons. The record is from RefSeq and is a predicted model, not a curated record.